GGGCGGUUAGUUCAGUGGCUAGAACAUUUCGUUGACACCGAAAAGGUCAGUGGUUCAAUUCCACUACCGCCCA
RNAcentral lists this transfer RNA (73 nucleotides) under Chloroflexota bacterium. Its description in RNAcentral is "Chloroflexi bacterium tRNA-Val". It matches the Rfam family "tRNA". Rfam says of the family: Transfer RNA (tRNA) molecules are approximately 80 nucleotides in length. Their secondary structure includes four short double-helical elements and three loops (D, anti-codon, and T loops). The record is from RNAcentral. Lineage: Bacteria; Bacillati; Chloroflexota.